Molecule: ribosomal RNA, 253 nt
Filed under: uncultured bacterium
Lineage: Bacteria
Description: partial 16S ribosomal RNA
Rfam family: Bacterial small subunit ribosomal RNA
Source: RNAcentral
UACAGAGGUCUCAAGCGUUGUUCGGAUUCAUUGGGCGUAAAGGGUGCGUAGGUGGCAUGGUAAGUCGGAUGUGAAAUCCCGGGCUCAACCCCGGAACUGCAUUCGAUACUGCUGCGCUAGAGUACUGGAGAGGAGAUUGGAAUUUACGGUGUAGCAGUGAAAUGCGUAGAUAUCGUAAGGAAGACCAGUGGCGAAGGCGGAUCUCUGGACAGUUACUGACACUGAGGCACGAAGGCCAGGGGAGCAAAACGGG